UACGGAAGAUCCAAGCGUUAUCCGGAAUUACUGGGCGUAAAGAGUUGCGUAGGUGGCAUAGUAAGCAGACAGUGAAAGAUCACGGCUCAACCGUGGGUGCAUUGUCUGAACUGCUAAGCUUGAGCAUGAGAGAGGUAGCUGGAAUUCCUAGUGUAGGAGUGAAAUCCGUAGAUAUUAGGAGGAACACCGAUGGCGUAGGCAGGCUACUGGCUCAUUGCUGACACUAAGGCACGAAAGCGUGGGGAGCGAACGGG
RNAcentral lists this ribosomal RNA (254 nucleotides) under uncultured bacterium. Its description in RNAcentral is "partial 16S ribosomal RNA". It matches the Rfam family "Bacterial small subunit ribosomal RNA", at positions 524 to 776 of the family's 1533-position model. The record is from RNAcentral.